Molecule: ribosomal RNA, 432 nt
Filed under: uncultured bacterium
Lineage: Bacteria
Description: partial 16S ribosomal RNA
Rfam family: Bacterial small subunit ribosomal RNA
Source: RNAcentral
CCUACGGGAGGCUGCAGUAAGGAAUAUUGGGCAAUGGACGAAAGUCUGACCCAGCCAUGCCGCGUGAAGGAUUAAGGUCUCUGGAUUGUAAACUUCUUUUCUCUGGGGCGCAGUACCAGAGGAAUAAGCACCGGCUAACUCCGUGCCAGCAGCCGCGGUAAUACGGAGGGUGCAAGCGUUAUCCGGAUUCACUGGGUUUAAAGGGUGCGUAGGUGGGUCUGUAAGUCAGUGGUGAAAUCCCCGAGCUUAACUUGGGAACUGCCGUUGAUACUAUAGAUCUUGAAUAUCGUGGAGGUAAGCGGAAUAUGUCAUGUAGCGGUGAAAUGCUUAGAUAUGACAUAGAACACCAAUUGCGAAGGCAGCUUACUACACGAUAUUGACACUGAGGCACGAAAGCGUGGGGAGCAAACAGGAUUAGAUACCCUUGUAGUC